RNAcentral lists this long non-coding RNA (210 nucleotides) under Elaeis guineensis (African oil palm). RNAcentral's name for it is "long non-coding RNA (EGUI_LNC062560)". Lineage: Eukaryota; Viridiplantae; Streptophyta; Magnoliopsida; Arecales; Arecaceae. The record is from RNAcentral.
AGGUAGGGUGUUACACACCUCAUCGAUCUGAUUAAAGAAUCUUAAGAGAUUUUUUCAAUCUACUUCUCUGCUUUAUUUUUGAAUUCUUUGAACUUUUUAAAGGCUUCAGACUUAUGCCUUAUGACGUAUACAUACCCAUACUAUGAAAAAUUAUUGAUAAAGAUUAUAAAGUAGUAAUAACCUCCUCUGACUGGCAUAUCAAAUGGGCCA